GCUCAGGACGAACGCUGGCGGCGUGCCUAAUACAUGCAAGUCGAGCGCGGGAAGCAAGCGGAUCCCCUUCGGGGGUGACGCUUGUGGAACGAGCGGCGGACGGGUGAGUAACACGUGGGCAACCUGCCUGUAAGACUGGGAUAACCCCGGGAAACCGGGGCUAAUACCGGAUAACACCGGACUCCACAUGGAGUCGGGUUGAAAGAUGGCUUCUGGCUAUCACUUACAGAUGGGCCCGCGGCGCAUUAGCUAGUUGGUGAGGUAACGGCUCACCAAGGCGACGAUGCGUAGCCGACCUGAGAGGGUGAUCGGCCACACUGGGACUGAGACACGGCCCAGACUCCUACGGGAGGCAGCAGUAGGGAAUCUUCCGCAAUGGACGAAAGUCUGACGGAGCAACGCCGCGUGAACGAUGAAGGUCUUCGGAUCGUAAAGUUCUGUUGUCAGGGAAGAACAAGUGCCGUGCGAAUAGAGCGGCACCUUGACGGUACCUGACGAGGAAGCCCCGGCUAACUACGUGCCAGCAGCCGCGGUAAUACGUAGGGGGCAAGCGUUGUCCGGAAUUAUUGGGCGUAAAGCGCGCGCAGGCGGUUCCUUAAGUCUGAUGUGAAAGCCCACGGCUCAACCGUGGAGGGUCAUUGGAAACUGGGGAACUUGAGUACAGAAGAGGAGAGUGGAAUUCCACGUGUAGCGGUGAAAUGCGUAGAUAUGUGGAGGAACACCAGUGGCGAAGGC
Molecule: ribosomal RNA, 735 nt
Filed under: Halobacillus sp. G19.1
Lineage: Bacteria; Bacillati; Bacillota; Bacilli; Caryophanales; Bacillaceae
Description: bacterial SSU rRNA
Rfam family: Bacterial small subunit ribosomal RNA
Source: RNAcentral